CCGCGAAGUUUUCCUCCCAUCCGCGCGAAGACAUCUUCCUUCCUGGCGCGCGAAGACGGUUCCCUCCCUCCUGGCGCGCGAAGCUGGCUGAGAGGUUCACGUACCUCGCGCGAUCUCCCCUCCUCCAGCAAGGUAAACUUCAUGGAUCCCAAUCUGUCCCAACUCGUUUCCUGUACCAUGGCGGUCUAGGGUUCCUAGGGUUUGGGGAUGGGCCGGUUUGGGAAUUGUGUGCCGUCUAUGGGUAUAUGGACGAGGACAGAUUGUAGGGUUUACAGUUGUGUUCUGGCUCUUCUUUUAUCUGCCUGCGUUCUCCUCUCUGCCAUUCAGAAAUUUGUCCCUUCCCUUGCAGGUAUUGGGAUUCGGUAUGGAACUAUCCCGGCUCUGAUCUCCGAGAACUCUAUACGAUACGUGAGUGAUUGCUAGAUUCUGUAUUCUUGCCAAAGCAUUACACACAACUUGAUCCUCAAAUGAAUAGAAUUUGUCAUCAAAUAGGAAGCUGCACUUGUAUUGAUUAGUAAUAGAGAUAUUUUUCUUUUUAACAAAAAAGAUGUAAUAACUUGCAGAACCGAGGGUGUGGAGCUUUCUUUCAGGAGUACGUAUAACCCAUCACAUCAAAAUAGCAUUCGGCUAAACAUCGACAAGAGGUGCCA
Molecule: long non-coding RNA, 650 nt
Filed under: Sorghum bicolor (sorghum)
Lineage: Eukaryota; Viridiplantae; Streptophyta; Magnoliopsida; Poales; Poaceae
Description: long non-coding RNA (SBIC_LNC011649)
Source: RNAcentral